Non-coding RNA from Leptonychotes weddellii (Weddell seal), 743 nucleotides. The record is from RefSeq and is a predicted model, not a curated record. Lineage: Eukaryota; Metazoa; Chordata; Mammalia; Carnivora; Phocidae.
AGGAAAGACAACAGGAAUGAUGUGGAAAGCAAAUGGACCAGCGGUGCCUGGCCCGGCCAUGCUGACUCCUCACCCCGCUCUAGAGGGAAGCUGAGAAACAGAACCUCCGAGGCUCCGAACCAGUGGGGCCAGGGGCCUGUGGAGAUAGGGAAGGCAGCCCAGAGUAGCAGAGGUCUGUUUAAGAAGCCCACAGAUCCUCCCUGGCUGCCUGCUCCAGACCACCAAGGGCCAGCCGCCCUGGAGGGGUGCUCCCUGGGGAGAAUGGAGCAGGGGCUCUGUGGCCAGAGGGACCUCAUGCACAGAUGGCAGGGAGGUAUCCUGCCCCCUAAAGGCUGAAAUCCCCACUCAGCCCCCAGAGGACCUUAUCAGACAGGCAAGGCCUAGGAGAGUCCCUCCCUCCUCCUGCAGGUAAGCUAUAACCUUGCUGUGUCCCAGCAGAGAGCGGACCACUCACCCUCUAGGGAAAAGCCCCAGUGGACAAGCCCACCUGGUCCUCAGUUUCCAGUCAGCUCUGCAGGCCCCGCCCCUAAAUACAGCAGAGAAGAUCCUGCAUCCAUACACCAAGAGCAGGAUGCUUUGAAGGAAGACACUCACAGAACAAAAACUAGAAAUGAGUUUCCCAGUUCUCAGCACAACGGAUGGAAACUGACCCACAGCAAGACCCUCCAUCCAAGACUAGAAGCAUGAAGCAGCCACGGCAGAAAGGACACCAUGGCUAGGUCUGUGCGGUGAUCACCUUGCAC